GACGAACGCUGGCGGCGUGCCUAAUACAUGCAAGUAGAACGCACAGUUUAUACCGUAGCUUGCUACACCAUAGACUGUGAGUUGCGAACGGGUGAGUAACGCGUAGGUAACCUGCCUGGUAGCGGGGGAUAACUAUUGGAAACGAUAGCUAAUACCGCAUAAUAUUAAUUAUUGCAUGAUAAUUAAUUGAAAGGUGCAAUUGCACCACUACCAGAUGGACCUGCGUUGUAUUAGCUAGUAGGUGAGGUAACGGCUCACCUAGGCGACGAUACAUAGCCGACCUGAGAGGGUGAUCGGCCACACUGGGACUGAGACACGGCCCAGACUCCUACGGGGGGCAGCAGUAGGGAAUCUUCGGCAAUGGACGAAAGUCUGACCGAGCAACGCCGCGUGAGUGAAGAAGGUUUUCGGAUCGUAAAGCUCUGUUGUAAGAGAAGAACGGGUGUGAGAGUGGAAAGUUCACACUGUGACGGUAUCUGACCAGAAAGGGACGGCUAACUACGUG
This 505-nucleotide ribosomal RNA is filed under the name uncultured bacterium. Its description in RNAcentral is "partial 16S ribosomal RNA". It matches the Rfam family "Bacterial small subunit ribosomal RNA", at positions 28 to 507 of the family's 1533-position model. The record is from RNAcentral.